CCUCCCCUAGUUCCGGCGCGUCGGCUGGGGGCGACUGAGGCCCCGAGCAGGUGCCUCGUGGCGGGUGGGUGCCGCGAGCUUCUGAGGGGCACCGCGGGAUGCUCCGGAGCUGAGAGCGGGGAGGCUGGCUGGCUUCCUCAGGCAGUCGGCUGGAGAUGCAGGCGGCGGAGCCAUUUGGACCUAGCAGCUUGCCGCUGCCUGUAGCUCUCCGACUCCCCCUAAAGCCACUUCAGCCAGAGCAGCCGCGGGAAUCAAGGCGGUGAUGAUGGGCGUAGACACGGGCUGCUCGGGAAGACCAGCGAUGCUUUAAGUGCAGGGAAGAAUACUUCUGAUCUUGGAUCAAGAAUGAAACACAAUGCAUUUUUGGCAGCAGUGCAAUCUUGCUUGGAGAGUGACCAUUCUGCUACAAUGCCACACUAGACUUCACAUGGCAGUGGCUGAUGUAUCUCAGCUUGAUUAUUAACAAUAUCAGGAAAAAAGAAAUGUUUCACCACCGUCAUAAUAUAUCUGGACCUCUCAAGACAACAAGAGUGUGUGUGCUAGAAGGAGACAGCAUGUUUUUCUGAACAACACAGAGCUCUAUCCCAUGGACUGUGGGCCCCACUGGAGAGAUCUAAGGAAUAUCUGUCAAAGGUGCUUGAAAUGACCCUUGCAAGAUCACAUAGUCAGUUCAGUGUGGGAGCCUUGCUUGUCUUAACUGUAUUAUAUCUUCAGUUUUAACAAUGCUGUGAUGACUUUUUCAUACAUUUAUAGGUGCAAUGUAAGCUUCAGCUGUUUGCAAAAGGAAAUGGAGGGUUUACGGACCUUACCAUGCAGCCUGCAUUUGACAUUUGCCACUAUUUGCAGUGGCCUACAGUAGCCAUGUGACCUUUAUCUUGCUUUUUCUACAGCCCUAAGAGGCAUCCUGAGGAGGAAUUCCUUGCACCUCCCGAGUUUUCUAUAACGCAAGGCAUUGGCCAAGUAUUGCCAUGAUGUGUGAGGUGAUGCCUACCAUCAGCGAGAGUGACCCCUUGGGGUCACAGCCAGGCUCUGAUGCUGAUGCCAACUUUGAGCAGCUGAUGGUGAACAUGCUUGAUGAGAGAGACAAGCUGCUAGAGACUCUUCGGGAAACACGUGAGACUCUAUCUGUGACUCAGGGCCGGCUACAGGAGACCUUGCAUGAGCGAGACCAGUUGCAGAGGCAACUGAACUCUGCUCUACCUCAGGAAUUUGCAACAUUGACAAGGGAACUCAAUGCAUGUCGAGAGCAGCUUCUGGAAAGGGAAGAGGAGAUCUCGGAGCUGAAAGCAGAACGGAAUAACACAAGGCUUUUGUUGGAGCAUCUGGAGUGCCUGGUCUCAAGGCACGAACGCUCUCUGAGGAUGACUGUGGUGAAACGGCAGGCUCAGUCUCCAUCUGGUGUCUCCAGUGAAGUUGAAGUUCUGAAAGCACUGAAAUCUUUGUUUGAACACCAUAAAGCAUUAGAUGAGAAGGUGAGAGAGCGCUUGCGGGCAGCACUGGAACGAGUGGCUACACUAGAAGAACAGCUUUCCAGUGCUCACCAGCAGGUAAGUGCUCUCCAGCAAGGCCCCUCCCAGAGGGAAGCUCCAGUGGGAGAAGAUGAUAAAAGAACUGAGGGCAAAGAACCUGGGCAGAAGAUUCUUUGGAAGAGACUUCCUAAUGGCUCUAUACAUCCAGAUGAUGAGGCAAGCCGGGCUGUGGAACUACAGGAGCUCCUAGAGAAGCAAAACUUUGAGCUAGCGCAAGCUAAAGAACGGAUAGCUACUCUGGCUGCUAGCAUUGCCGAGCUGGAAGAAGAUCUAAGUACUGCCAGGAGGGACUUAAUCAAAUCUGAAGAAAUGAGCAGCAAAUACCAGAGGGAUCUACGAGAGGCUUUGGCACAGAAAGAAGACAUGGAAGAGAGGAUCACCACCUUGGAGAAACGCUAUCUGGCAGCUCAGAGAGAAGCCACUUCCAUUCAUGACCUCAAUGAUAAACUGGAGAAUGAGCUGGCUAAUAAAGAGUCUCUCCAUCGCCAGUGUGAGGAAAAGGCACGGCACCUCCAGGAGCUUCUAGAACUGGCAGAGCAGAAACUGCAGCAGACAAUGCGGAAAGCAGAGACGCUGCCUGAAGUUGAAGCUGAACUGGCCCAAAGGAUAGCAGCAUUGACCAAGGCAAAGGAGAGACAUGGCAGUAUUGAAGAGCGACUGCGGCAGCUAGAGACUCAAUUGGAGGAAAAGAACCAAGAACUGGCAAGGGCCCGUCAGCGGGAGAAAAUGAAUGAGGAACAUAACAAGCGGCUGUCUGAUACUGUGGACAGACUGCUAAGUGAGUCCAAUGAGCGGCUUCAGCUUCACUUGAAAGAGCGGAUGGCAGCCCUGGAAGAGAAGAAUACAUUAUUGCAAGAACUGGAAAAUACACAAAAACAGAUCGAGGAGCAGCAGCAUGAUAAGAGAAGGCUGUCAGAUGAAAUCGACAAGUUGAGAUUAGAAAUUGACCAGUUAAAGACAAGAAGUGGAUCUUUUCUUGACAGUGUACAUACAAGGUCCCUUGUUGGAAGCACUCCAGACCUCAGGUAUCCUCUGAGUACUAUGGUCCAUGCACCAUCUGAGCCCUUUGGAACACCCUCUAGCCUUCACCGGGCACCAAAGAGUCGAUUUGCAGCUCUGCGGGAAGAACCCUCCAAAGAUUGGGAGCUUGCACAGCCAGGUGGGGUUCUGACCGCCACAGCUCACACCUUUGACAGUGACCCAGAGAUCUCCGAUGUUGAUGAGGAUGACCAGGAGACAGUCUUUAGCUCUAUGGACAUGCUGUCUCCCAGUGGUCAUUCUGAUGCCCAGACCCUUGCCAUGAUGCUGCAGGAACAGCUGGAUGCCAUCAAUGAGGAGAUCAGAAUGAUCCAGGAGGAGAAAGAAUCCACAGAGCUGCGUGCUGAGCAGCUGGAGAGCCGCGUCACUAGUGGUAGCAUGGAGGCCCUGAAUCUAACACAGCUCCGCAAGAGAGCAUCCAUCCCCACCUCCCUGACUGCCUUGUCUUUGGCCAGCUCCUCCCCACCAGUCAGUGGGCGUUCCACACCCAAGCUCACUUCUCGAAGUACGGCUCAGGACCUUGAUCGAAUAUGCAGCAUGACCUUGCCCAGUGACUUGAGAAAACAUCGAAGAAAGCUGCUUUCACCAGCUGGUCGAGAUGAGAGUCGAGAAGAUAAAACCACCAUAAAAUGUGAGACUUCUCCUCCUUCCUCACCCAGGACCCUGCGGCUGGAGAAGUUUGGACAUCCUGCUCUAAGUCAGGAGGAAGGCAAGAGUGCUUUGGAGGACCAGGCAAGUAACCCCAGCAGCAGUAACAGCAGCCAGGACUCCCUACACAAAGGCUCCAAAAGGAAAGGCAUCAAAUCCUCUAUUGGACGCUUAUUUGGAAAGAAGGAGAAAGGACGCUUGAUCCAGCUGAGCAGAGACAGUGCUACUGGGCAAGUUAUGCUGACAGAUUCAGAGAUCAACAUCCAGGAUUCUCUUGGUCUUGGCAAGCUAGGAGCUCAAGCAGAGAAAGACAGGCGACUCAAAAAAAAACAUGAGCUUUUAGAAGAUGCUCGAAGAAGGGGCAUUCCAUUUGCUCAGUGGGAUGGCCCAACUGUAGUUUCUUGGCUGGAGCUUUGGGUGGGCAUGCCUGCCUGGUAUGUGGCAGCCUGCAGAGCCAAUGUGAAGAGUGGUGCCAUCAUGUCUGCCUUGUCAGAUACAGAGAUACAGAGAGAAAUUGGCAUCAGUAAUGCCCUUCACCGGUUAAAACUGCGUCUGGCAAUUCAAGAAAUGGUGUCACUAACAAGCCCUUCUGCUCCUCCCACCUCAAGAACAUCAUCUGGAAAUGUCUGGGUCACACAUGAAGAGAUGGAAACUAUGGCAACUUCAACCAAAACGGAUACUGAGGAAGGCAGUUGGGCACAGACUCUGGCUUAUGGGGACAUGAAUCAUGAAUGGAUAGGGAAUGAAUGGCUUCCCAGUCUGGGUCUCCCACAAUAUCGCAGCUACUUCAUGGAGUGUCUUGUGGAUGCACGAAUGUUGGAUCAUCUAACUAAGAAAGAUCUUCGAGUGCAUCUGAAGAUGGUGGACAGUUUUCAUCGAACAAGUCUGCAGUAUGGUAUUAUGUGCCUGAAGAGACUGAACUAUGAUAGAAAGGAAUUGGAGAGGAGGCGGGAGGAAAGCCAGCAUGAAAUCAAAGAUGUGUUGGUCUGGACCAAUGAUCAAGUCAUUCACUGGAUCCAGUCCAUUGGGCUUAGAGAGUAUGCCAACAACAUCAUUGAAAGUGGAGUCCAUGGAGCUCUCAUAGCUUUGGAUGAAAAUUUUGAUCAUAAUAGUCUGGCACUUGUGUUACAAAUACCCAAUCAGAACACUCAGGCACGGCAGGUGAUGGAGAGAGAAUUCAACAAUCUGCUUGCCUUGGGCACUGAUAGGAGGCUUGAUGAUAGUUGAAAAAAUGUCAUGUGAAAAACAGGUCUGAGAGCAGGAAGCAAAAUGAUCUGGGAGAAAGAUGGGUUGAAGAAGCAUGCUUGUUUAAUUUCCCCAUUUAUAGUGGGUCUGUCAAUUGGAUGCAACGGAUUCUGUAACAUCAAAUCUUUUGAGAUGGAGGGAGGUUCUAAAUGAUGUACAGGUAAGCCUGGAGAUCUCUUGGAGAUUGCAGUACUGGUAAGUAUGUCACAGAUAACUGAGUUGGUAAUCAAGAUCCAUAAUCGCCUCUUCAAGAAUGGAAGCAGAUGUUCUGACUGGCUGGAACAGAAUGGCCAAAUGUACCCUUAGCCCAGAGAAAGCAUACCAGUGUGUGUUUCACAUGUGUAUCUCAACCUUCCUGCAUGGGUUCAGUGGGAUUAUCCCAUUUUAUUAUUUACAACUCUUGUGCUGUAGAAGAAAGAAUGCAACUAGCCCAGCCUUACUCAGUGGUUUUCAUUGUUGAACACAAAUGUGGACCCUGCUUUGGCUGGUCCAAAACCAAAUACACUGCAGUGGCUCAGUAUAAAAGAAGUGGAAAAUACACAGUGUGGAACAAGUGAAUAAAGUUGGAAAUUGAGGGAAGAAGAAACAUCCCCAAAUCCUCCCAUUUUGUCACAAAUCUUUGUUGGUUUUCUGAGAUGGGUGAUGAGUCUGAUAAGUGUGUAAGCAUCAAACCCUGGUGGGUUUCUGAUGCCUGAUACUCAGCAUUUGCCCCUUUCUGACUGUCAGGACAAAUUCAUGAGCCAGAGAGGUAAUGGCAUUUGCCUGAAACAAUAACAUGUUAUGUAGGAUGAAAUAUUCUGGACUCUUUCCCCUCAUCGAUGCAGCCAUUAUGUGAUGGGAGCGGGGAUCAAGGAGGACAUGCCCUUCAUCUGACUAUGUAUAUACACAUGCCACUUCAGGGUGCAACCCUUGUUUUAGCCCAUUUAGCUCAGUGUUUAAGCCUAUUACCUGCUCAGUCCUGAAGCUUCCCUAAGAUACUGCUGUCACUGAGCAGUACUCUUUGCUGCACUUCUAUCCCACAAGUUCAGCACCACAAGAUUUUCAAAUUCCUAUCCAACCCCAGCACAGCAUCCUUCCAAUGGUUGUUGCUGGUGUCUACCUUAUAUUUCCUUUUAGAUUGUGAGCCCUUUGGGACAGGGAAUCACCUUAUUCAUUAUUUAUUUUUCUAUCUAAACUUCUUUGAGCACUUUUGUUGGAAAGCCAUAUAUAAAUAUUUGUAGUAGCAGUAGUAAAAAGAAACAAAAAGAGAGAGCUUCUGUUCCCUUCCUAUUUGGGAACCAUCUCCACCAUUAUAUAAUCCAGUCUCUAAAUAUUUAGAUAGCCAGGAUCAUUCUAAAAGCUUCAUGAUUAAUAAUCCUGAUGGUGGGAAUUAAUGUCACCUAAAAUCUAGGUCCUCUCCAAAAGUUUGCUUAUUGCUGCAUCCAGGAAUUCUUGGAGCUACUGCUCUGUGUGUUGAACCACUUGAAGCUUCAGAUUAUAGAUGCUUCCCUAUGCUGUGAUAUGUUCACAGACUCCAGGACGACUCUAGCCAUGCAGGCAGCCUAUUGGUUCCCCCUGGCCUGGAAGGAAUAUAAAGGAUUCCAUGUUGGGCAGAAACUUGUUUUGAGCAGCCACAGCUCUAUUGUGUCUUCAAGGUCUGGUUACUAGUGCCCAAAUGCCCAGCACUAUUUUCCAGCUCAACUCUCAACUGAAUUGUCUGAAUAUGGGUGCAUUUCUGCUUACCUUUCUCAGAGGCCUCUGUUCAUCUACUCCAAAGGUUAUUAAAGUACUAUACUGAACAUGAGCUUUCUUACAACCAUAUCUGAGCUCCUCGAACCAUAAGAAGGAGGAAUUUGGUAAUGGAGGGGUUGCCCUUUUAUAGUUAGACUCAACCACAAUUCUACUGCCACUUUAAAAACAGUUGAAGACCAAAUUUUAAAAAAUGCAUGGAGUGUGUGGAACAUUCCACCAAUGUCAUAUACAGUGCAUAAACCAAAACUUCAAUAGUUGAAAAGUGUACAUCAUAGAGUCAUCUUCUCUUUUGGAAAUUGUACUGGGUGAUGACAAGACUUUUCGGCGAACUCCUUCCUGGAGAAAACGUUUCCGCCCACGAGAAUUUCACAGCAUCAACAUGCUCAGUGGGUCAGCAGAGACACUCCCAGCAGGGUUCCGAGUGAC
Hemicordylus capensis (graceful crag lizard) is the source of this 6617-nucleotide RNA transcript. It is a transcript of the gene named PTPRF interacting protein alpha 4, with no coding region annotated. The transcript has 30 exons. The record is from RefSeq and is a predicted model, not a curated record. NCBI's taxonomy places the organism in Eukaryota, Metazoa, Chordata, Lepidosauria, Squamata, Cordylidae.